AGAUUGAACGCUGGCGGCAGGCCUAACACAUGCAAGUCGAGCGGCAGCACGGGUACUUGUACCUGGUGGCGAGCGGCGGACGGGUGAGUAAUGCCUAGGAAUCUGCCUGAUAGUGGGGGAUAACGUUCGGAAACGGACGCUAAUGCCGCAUACGUCCUACGGGAGAAAGUGGGGGAUCUUCGGACCUCACGCUAUCAGAUGAGCCUAGGUCGGAUUAGCUAGUUGGUAGGGUAAAGGCCUACCAAGGCUACGAUCCGUAACUGGUCUGAGAGGAUGAUCAGUCACACUGGAACUGAGACAGGUCCAGACUCCUACGGGAGGCAGCAGGUGGGAAUAGUUGGACAAGUGGGGCACAAGCCUGACUCGAGCCAUACCGCGUGGGUAGAAGAGGCCGUUGGUAGUAACGUCCCGUUUUGUAGGAAG
Molecule: ribosomal RNA, 423 nt
Filed under: uncultured soil bacterium
Lineage: Bacteria
Description: bacterial SSU rRNA
Rfam family: Bacterial small subunit ribosomal RNA
Source: RNAcentral